RNAcentral lists this ribosomal RNA (228 nucleotides) under uncultured bacterium. Its description in RNAcentral is "partial 16S ribosomal RNA". It matches the Rfam family "Bacterial small subunit ribosomal RNA", at positions 118 to 348 of the family's 1533-position model. The record is from RNAcentral.
UGAGCAAUCUGCCCUUCUCAUCGGAAUAAGCGUUGGAAACGACGUCUAAUGCCGAAUACGACCUCCUUUCGCAUGAUCGGAGGUGGAAAGCUCCGGCGGAGAAGGAUGAGCUCGCGGCCUAUCAGCUAGUUGGUGUGGGUAAUGGCUCACCAAGGCGACGACGGGUAGCCGGCCUGAGAGGGUGACCGGCCACACUGGGACUGAGACACGGUCCAGACUCCUAGGAGG